GUGAACGCUGGCGGUAGGCCUAACACAUGCAAGUCGAACGGCAGCACAGUAAGAGCUUGCUCUUACGGGUGGCGAGUGGCGGACGGGUGAGGAAUACAUCGGAAUCUACUUUUUCGUGGGGGAUAACGUAGGGAAACUUACGCUAAUACCGCAUACGACCUACGGGUGAAAGCAGGGGAUCUUCGGACCUUGCGCGAUUGAAUGAGCCGAUGUCGGAUUAGCUAGUUGGCGGGGUAAAGGCCCACCAAGGCGACGAUCCGUAGCUGGUUUGAGAGGAUGAUCAGCCACACUGGAACUGAGACACGGUCCAGACUCCUACGGGAGGCAGCAGUGGGGAAUAUUGGACAAUGGGCGCAAGCCUGAUCCAGCCAUACCGCGUGGGUGAAGAAGGCCUUCGGGUUGUAAAGCCCUUUUGUUGGGAAAGAAAAGCAGCAGGUUAAUACCCCGCUGUUCUGACGGUACCCAAAGAAUAAGCACCGGCUAACUUCGUG
This 491-nucleotide ribosomal RNA is filed under the name uncultured bacterium. RNAcentral's name for it is "partial 16S ribosomal RNA". It matches the Rfam family "Bacterial small subunit ribosomal RNA", at positions 29 to 507 of the family's 1533-position model. The record is from RNAcentral.